Molecule: ribosomal RNA, 879 nt
Filed under: uncultured bacterium
Lineage: Bacteria
Description: bacterial SSU rRNA
Rfam family: Bacterial small subunit ribosomal RNA
Source: RNAcentral
AGAGUUUGAUCAUGGCUCAGGAUGAACGCUGGCGGCGUGCCUAACACAUGCAAGUCGAGCGAUCUUCUUCGGAAGAGAGCGGCGGACGGGUGAGUAACGCGUGGGUAACCUGCCCUGUACACACGGAUAACAUACCGAAAGGUAUGCUAAUACGGGAUAACAUAAGAAAUUCGCAUGUUUUUCUUAUCAAAGCUCCGGCGGUACAGGAUGGACCCGCGUCUGAUUAGCUAGUUGGUGAGGUAACGGCUCACCAAGGCCACGAUCAGUAGCCGACCUGAGAGGGUGAUCGGCCACAUUGGAACUGAGACACGGUCCAAACUCCUACGGGAGGCAGCAGUGGGGAAUAUUGCACAAUGGGCGAAAGCCUGAUGCAGCAACGCCGCGUGAGCGAUGAAGGCCUUCGGGUCGUAAAGCUCUGUCCUCAAGGAAGAUAAUGACGGUACUUGAGGAGGAAGCCCCGGCUAACUACGUGCCAGCAGCCGCGGUAAUACGUAGGGGGCUAGCGUUAUCCGGAUUUACUGGGCGUAAAGGGUGCGUAGGCGGUCUUUUAAGUCAGAAGUGAAAGGCUACGGCUUAACCGUAGUAAGCUUUUGAAACUGGAGAACUUGAGUGCAGGAGAGGAGAGUGGAAUUCCUAGUGUAGCGGUGAAAUGCGUAGAUAUUAGGAGGAACACCAGUAGCGAAGGCGGCUCUCUGGACUGUAACUGACGCUGAGGCACGAAAGCGUGGGGAGCAAACAGGAUUAGAUACCCUGGUAGUCCACGCCGUAAACGAUGAGUACUAGCUGUCGGAGGUUACCCCCUUCGGUGGCGCAGCUAACGCAUUAAGUACUCCGCCUGGGGAGUACGCUCGCAAGAGUGAAACUCAAAGGAAUUGACGG